GAUGAACGCUAGCUACAGGCUUAACACAUGCAAGUCGAGGGGCAGCAUGGACAUAGCUUGCUAUGUCUGAUGGCGACCGGCGCACGGGUGCGUAACACGUAUCCAAUCUGCCCGUCACUCGGGGAUAGCCUUCUGAAAGGAAGAUUAAUACCCGAUGGGAUGCAUUUCCGGCAUCGGAGAUGCAUUAAAGAUUUUAUCGGUGACGGAUGAGGAUGCGUACGAUUAGCUAGUUGGCGGGGUAAACGGCCCACCAAGGCGACGAUCGUUAGGGGUUCUGAGAGGAAGGUCCCCCACACUGGAACUGAGACACGGACCAGACUCCUACGGGAGGCAGCAGUGAGGAAUAUUGGACAAUGGAUGGAAAUACUGAUCCAGCCAUGCCGCGUGCAGGAUGACGGCCCUAUGGGGUCUUUAAAAACUGCUUUUGUAUGGAGCAAUAAGUUCUACGCGUAGAGCG
Molecule: ribosomal RNA, 457 nt
Filed under: uncultured bacterium
Lineage: Bacteria
Description: bacterial SSU rRNA
Rfam family: Bacterial small subunit ribosomal RNA
Source: RNAcentral